GACGAACGCUGGCGGCGUGCUUAACACAUGCAAGUCGAGCGGUAAGGCCCUUUCGGGGGGUACACGAGCGGCGAACGGGUGAGUAACACGUGGGUGACCUGCCCUCAGCUCUGGGAUAAGCCUGGGAAACCGGGUCUAAUACUGGAUAUGACUCCAUGACGCAUGUUGUGGGGUGGAAAGCCUUGUGCGGCUGAGGAUGGGCCCGCGGCCUAUCAGCUUGUUGGUGGGGNGAUGGCCUACCAAGGCGACGACGGGUAGCCGGCCUGAGAGGGCGACCGGCCACACUGGGACUGAGACACGGCCCAGACUCCUACGGGAGGCAGCAGUGGGGAAUCUUGCGCAAUGGGCGAAAAGCCUGACGCAGCG
RNAcentral lists this ribosomal RNA (366 nucleotides) under uncultured bacterium. RNAcentral's name for it is "bacterial SSU rRNA". It matches the Rfam family "Bacterial small subunit ribosomal RNA", at positions 28 to 393 of the family's 1533-position model. The record is from RNAcentral.